GUGAGGAAUCUUGCGCAAUGGGGGAAACCCUGACGCAGCAACGCCGCGUGAGUGAGGAAGGUCUUCGGAUCGUAAAGCUCUGUCGGGUGGAAAGAAGUGUAUGGGGUUAAUAGCCUUCAUACUUGACGGUACCACCAAAGGAAGCACCGGCUAACUCCGUGCCAGCAGCCGCGGUAAUACGGGGGGUGCAAGCGUUGUUCGGAAUUAUUGGGCGUAAAGAGCGUGUAGGCGGCUUGUCAAGUCAGAUGUGAAAGCCCUGGGCUUAACCCAGGAAGUGCAUUUGAAACUGGCAGGCUUGAGUAGGGGAGAGGGAAGUGGAAUUCCUGGUGUAGAGGUGAAAUUCGUAGAUAUCAGGAGGAACACCGGUGGCGAAGGCGACUUCCUGGCCCUAUACUGACGCUGAGACGCGAGAGCGUGGGUAGCAAACAGGAUUAGAAACCCCGGUAGUCC
Molecule: ribosomal RNA, 450 nt
Filed under: uncultured bacterium
Lineage: Bacteria
Description: bacterial SSU rRNA
Rfam family: Bacterial small subunit ribosomal RNA
Source: RNAcentral